GGUAAACGGGUGGAGCCCUAAAGGUCGAAAGGAGAGAUUCAGUAGUCCAGUCCGACUUCGGCUCUGCGUCGUUGGGUAAACUCCGGGUGUCUGCUCUCGGGCAGGUGCUCGGGGCCUGCGGCGUGGCUACGCGCGAGGUAGGUGGAGCGCACUUCUCUCCGAGUAGGACGCCGCGACCCGUUGGACGCCGGCCUAAGGCCUGGGUGCGAGACCGUGUCGCUGUUCGCAGCGGGGCGGAGCCCCGGUGUCCCGGCCGAGUGUCAGACGGUAGAAACGUGGACAGGCCCGCGUGCUUAUAGCUCGCGCGCGUGCCCCGUGCAAGCGUCCGGUGGGACCCUAUCGUGCGGAUUUAUGCCGUCGAAGACCUACCGGCGUUGUUGGUGCGGGGGUUUCUCGCGCAGCCGGCCUGAUCUCGUUGCGGCGCUCAAAGCAGGGUGGCCCACCCGGCCCGUCUUGAAACACGGACCAAGGAGUCUAACAUGUGCGCAAGUCACUGGGUUCAGCGAAACCCAAGGGCGAAUUGAACGAGAAAGUCGGCCUUGCGUCGGCUUAGGGAAGAUGGAUACCCUUCGGGGUCUCCCGCAUUCCCGGGGCGUCUCGUCCUACUUCCGCUUGUCGUCAA
This 622-nucleotide ribosomal RNA is filed under the name Homoeoneuria alleni. RNAcentral describes it as "eukaryotic LSU rRNA". The record is from RNAcentral. Lineage: Eukaryota; Metazoa; Arthropoda; Insecta; Ephemeroptera; Oligoneuriidae.